This 281-nucleotide long non-coding RNA is filed under the name Physcomitrium patens. RNAcentral describes it as "long non-coding RNA (PPAT_LNC011075)". Lineage: Eukaryota; Viridiplantae; Streptophyta; Bryopsida; Funariales; Funariaceae. The record is from RNAcentral.
CUCUUCACAUUCGCGGCGACAUUGCCGGGGUUGUUGCUUCCGGUGAGCUUGUCUCCCAAUCCGCUCAGAGCACUCUUGGCAUCGUCCACAACAUUGGUCGUAUUGCUCUUGGCUUCAUUGAUCACAUCAGAGGCAUCACCCAACUGGAAGGCCUGGUUAGCAGUGCUGGAAGCGUCGCUGAUCUUACCCUUCACUUUGCUGUUACCCUUUCCCAUCAGGUCGCCAAAGUUGGCCUUGGCCUUGUUCAAGUUGUCCCUGGCAUUCUUCACCGCUGCAUCGGC